RNAcentral lists this long non-coding RNA (463 nucleotides) under Astyanax mexicanus (Mexican tetra). RNAcentral's name for it is "lncRNA (ENSAMXG00005013180.1)". Lineage: Eukaryota; Metazoa; Chordata; Actinopteri; Characiformes; Acestrorhamphidae. The record is from RNAcentral.
GUCUGCUAGGGCUCGUGAGCUGUGACUCAAACCCAGAGACAUCGGCAGGGAGUGAGACAAAAAAGAGAGGCAACGGUUCUCUUUCUUGUGAAAAAGGAGAAAGAAAGUAAGAAACAAAAAGAAUGAGAGAGAAAUAGGUUCUGACACCUGUGGCGGAAGCCCAGCAUGCAUUGGUCCUGGAUCAGCAGGCCCCGGCGUUCUGAAGGGAGAAGCGUGGUGCUGCUGGGAUCUGAUGGGCCAAGCUGCAAUAACUCAAGGCCCGGCUCAGAGAAAGCUGAUAGCCUGGCAGGCGUUGGUUUACGGCCAGAUGCCCCGAGAGCAGCAGUCCUGGAUGCUGCUGAGACUUUAUCCUCAGACGCUGGUACUUUUCAUCUGAAUGGCUACAUGCAAUUUUAAUGCAGGAGGCCCCAAAUACAAAUCCCACAGUAGGUUAUCUUUUUGGGAUUCAUCCAGAGAGAGCGAG